AAGUCGUAACAAGGUUUCCGUAGGUGAACCUGCGGAAGGAUCAUUAUUGAAUAACUUGGUGUUGAGCUGGCCCGUUAGGGCAUGUGCUUGCAUCAUAUUAUUUACUUAUCUCUUGUGCACCUCUUGUAGUCUUUGAAGUGUCGCAGUCAAUGCGGUUUGGGGUUUGGACUAGUCCUUUCUCUGCUUGCUUCAGAGGCUAUGUUUUUAUACACACUAUUGAAGUUACAGAAUGUCUCUUAUUGACUUUCAGUCAGUAAAUCUAUACAACUUUCAGCAACGGAUCUCUUGGCUCUC
Molecule: unclassified non-coding RNA, 294 nt
Filed under: air metagenome
Description: partial contains small subunit ribosomal RNA, internal transcribed spacer 1, and 5.8S ribosomal RNA
Rfam family: Eukaryotic small subunit ribosomal RNA (bases 1-46)
Source: RNAcentral